This 442-nucleotide ribosomal RNA is filed under the name uncultured bacterium. RNAcentral describes it as "partial 16S ribosomal RNA". It matches the Rfam family "Bacterial small subunit ribosomal RNA", at positions 338 to 795 of the family's 1533-position model. The record is from RNAcentral.
CCUACGGGUGGCAGCAGUGGGGAAUAUUGGGCAAUGGGCGCAAGCCUGAACCAGCAACGCCGCGUGAAGGAAGAAGGCUCUAGGGGUGGAAACCUCCUUUAAGAGGGAAGAGCAGAAGACGGUACCUCUUGAAUAAGCCACGGCUAACGACGUGCCAGCAGCCGAGGUAAUACGUAGGUGGCAAGCGUUGUCCGGAUUUACUGGGUUUAAAGGGCGUGCAGGCGGGAAGAUAAGUCAGAUGUGAAAUCCCGCGGCUCAACCGCGGAACUGCAUUUGAAACUGUUCUUCUUGAGUAACGGUGAGGUAAUCGGAAUUCCUUGUGUAGCGGUGAAAUGCUUAGAUAUAAGGAAGAACACCAGUUGCGAAGGCAGAUGACUGGACGGCAACUGACGGUGAGGCACGAAAGCGUGGGGAGCAAACAGGAUUAGAUACCCUUGUAGUC